AAGUCGUAACAAGGUUUCCGUAGGUGAACCUGCGGAAGGAUCAUUAACACGAACUCGAAUCAAACCAAACGUGAACCGUAAAAUUCUCCCUAUAUUUGAUUCUAGAGAUAGAAUUGCAAUGUAGGCUAACAGUUCUUUUUCUCUCGAGAAAGAGGGCAACUCGAAAACCACUUGUAAACGCACACUUCCAGUUUGCUGGAACUCAUACUAACACGUCAGUAAUCAAUUGGAACGUGCACAGCGCGUUUCCUUUUUUGUUUACUUUGAUCUUAUGAAAUACUUGAACAACUCUUAACAAUGGAUAUCUUGGUUCUC
Molecule: unclassified non-coding RNA, 315 nt
Filed under: fungal sp.
Lineage: Eukaryota; Fungi
Description: partial internal transcribed spacer region
Rfam family: Eukaryotic small subunit ribosomal RNA (bases 1-46)
Source: RNAcentral